UCGACCUUCUUGGUGAUAAAUUGCCAUUUAAUUGGCAAAUUUAUUUUAUUUAUUGUUGUUGUUUUUAAACCUCUGCCACUUUUGCAAAAAACAUGGGCCUCAAUGUUGAUUGGGCUGCUUUCUGGAGUCAGGGCCCAUUCUUUUGUUUUUUAUGUUUUGUGGGCUUCUUCGUAAAGAUGGACUGGCACGUGGAAUUCUUAGGCCCAAACAAUGCCCCCUCAAGUCUGAAUCGUUUUAAAAAGGGUUCCAGACUUAAUGAUUGGCCAAUCAAUGAUGCGUGCCAUUUCCUGCCGUUGCACUAGUGCACGUCUGCCUAUUGGGCUUUCUUGGGGAAGUGGGUUCUAAUGGCUAAUUAAAUCUGAGCACGACUCCUUUCUU
This 378-nucleotide long non-coding RNA is filed under the name Prunus persica (peach). Its description in RNAcentral is "long non-coding RNA (PPER_LNC006494)". Lineage: Eukaryota; Viridiplantae; Streptophyta; Magnoliopsida; Rosales; Rosaceae. The record is from RNAcentral.